Molecule: ribosomal RNA, 440 nt
Filed under: uncultured bacterium
Lineage: Bacteria
Description: partial 16S ribosomal RNA
Rfam family: Bacterial small subunit ribosomal RNA
Source: RNAcentral
CCUACGGGGGACAGCAGUGGGGAAUAUUGCACAAUGGGGGAAACUCUGAUGCAGCGACGUCGCGUGCGUGAUGAAGUAUUUCGGUAUGUAAAGCUCUAUCAGCAGGGAAGAAAAUGACGGUACCUGACUAAGAAGCCCCGGCUAACUACGUGCCAGCAGCCGCGGUAAUACGUAGGGGGCAAGCGUUAUCCGGAUUUACUGGGUGUAAAGGGAGCGUAGACGGCGGUGCAAGCCAGAUGUGAAAGCCCGGGGCUCAACCCCGGGACUGCCUUUGGAACUGGGCUGCUAGAGUGUCGGAGAGGCAGGCGGAAUUCGUAGUGUAGCGGUGAAAUGCGUAGAUAUUAGGAGGAACACCAGUGGCGAAGGCGGCCUGCUGGACGAUGACUGACGUUGAGGCUCGAAGGCGUGGGGAGCAAACAGGAUUAGAUACCCUUGUAGUC